Molecule: long non-coding RNA, 453 nt
Filed under: Lupinus angustifolius (narrow-leaved blue lupine)
Lineage: Eukaryota; Viridiplantae; Streptophyta; Magnoliopsida; Fabales; Fabaceae
Description: long non-coding RNA (LANG_LNC001305)
Source: RNAcentral
UGCAAAGAAACAUUAAGAUUAAACCAAUUUUAUUGAUAUUGUGUUUGUUGGAGAUGGCUAAGCUUACUUUAAUGCAUAUUUUCACCCUUUUCCUUUUGCUUGCAGGUUUAUUCUAGAUAGUGUAAUAAUAUAUAGUUUCUUGAUAUUUAUAUAUGUAUGAUUUGCAAAACUUAUCAUUAUUUAAUAAAUUUCAGGUAUUUUCAUCACAAGUGAAGCACGUCCAAAAAGAGUUGAGGCUCCUAAAAGAACAUCAAUAAGAAUAUCUAUAGGUGGUUGCAUUCUUGCAAAUUGUCAAAGUCAAUGUGAAAUUUUGUAUGGUUCACGUCAUACUCAUGUAUUGGGAGAAUGUGUUUCCAAUAAUUGCAAUUGUUCUUAUGAUGAUUGAUAUGUUUGUAACCUUCUUAAUUGAAGAAUGAAUAAAAACUAAUUCUCUAUUGAAUUGAAACCUUGGAC